This 2460-nucleotide ribosomal RNA is filed under the name metagenome. Its description in RNAcentral is "bacterial LSU rRNA". It matches the Rfam family "Bacterial large subunit ribosomal RNA", at positions 14 to 2495 of the family's 2925-position model. The record is from RNAcentral.
AGGGCGUAUGGGGAAUGCCUAGGCACACUCCGGCGAAGAAGGACGCAGCAAACAGCGAAAUGCGACGGUGAGCGGUAAGCACGUGAAGAGCCGUCGAUAUCCGAAUGGGGGAACCCACACGGAGUCAUAUCCGUGUAUCACAUGUCGAAUACAUAGACAUGAUGAGGCGAGACGCAGGGAACUGAAACAUCUAAGUACCUGCAGGAAGAGAAAAUAAGAAUGAUUUUCUGAGUAGCGGCGAGCGAAAGGGAAAGAGCCCAAACCGAUCUGAGGAUCGGGGUAGUAGGAUCAUCGAUAAAUCAAACAGAGGAUCAUAGAGGAAUCACAUGGGAAGGUGAGCGAGAGAGGGUGAGAGCCCCGUACUCGAAAUGAGAGACUGGAGAGAGAUGACACCUGAGUAGGGCGGGACACGAGAAAUCCUGUCUGAAUCAGCCGGGACCAUCCGGCAAGGCUAAAUACGAGAGAGUGACCGAUAGUGAACCAGUACCGUGAGGGAAAGGUGAAAAGAACCCCGGGAGGGGAGUGAAAGAGAACCUGAAACCAUAUGCCUACAAGAAGUCAGAGCCCGUUAAAGGGUGAUGGCGUGCCUUUUGUAGAAUGAACCGGCGAGUUACUGUAUGGAGCGAGGUUAAGCAGGAUAUGCGGAGCCGAAGCGAAAGCGAGUCUUAAGAGGGCGCGAGUUGCAUGCAGUAGACCCGAAACCGGGUGAUCUAGCCAUGACCAGGUUGAAGUUGGGGUAAAACCCGAUGGAGGACCGAACCGACCCCCGUUGAAACGUUGGCGGAUGAGUUGUGGCUAGGGGGGAAAUUCCAAUCGAACCCGGAGAUAGCUGGUUCUCCCCGAAAUAGCUUUAGGGCUAGCGUCGAGAGAAGAGUUGCGUGAAGGUAGAGCACUGAAUAUGUGAUGGCCCCAUCUCGGGGUACUGAGCAUAAUCAAACUGCGAAUGUCACGCCAACAUGCUCGGCAGUCAGACAGCGGGUGAUAAGGUCCGUUGUCAAGAGGGAAACAGCCCAGACCAUCAGCUAAGGUCCCAAAAUGUAUGCUAAGUGGAAAAGGAUGUGGAGAUGUACAGACAACUAGGAGGUUGGCUCAGAAGCAGCCAUCCUUUAAAGAGUGCGUAACAGCUCACUAGUCGAAUGACUCUGCGCCGAUAAUUUACCGGGGCUAAGCAUACUACCGAAGCUAUGGAUCCCAAGGGAUGGUAGGGGAGCGUUCCAUGAACGGAGAAGUACGACCGAAAGGACGUGUGGAGAUCAUGGAAGAGAGAAUGCCGGUGUGAGUAGCGGAACGUGGGUGAGAAUCCCACGCACCGAAAACCCAAGGUUUCCAGAGGAAGGUUCGUCCGCUCUGGGUAAGUCGGGACCUAAGGCGAGGCCGAAAGGCGUAGUCGAUGGACAACAGGUAGAGAUUCCUGUACCCGUAUAUAUGUGAAGGAAUGACGGAGAGAGGAAGCUGCAGCCAGCGGCUGGAAGAGCUGGUGCAAGCGAGAUAUCGGGAUGGCAGGCAAAUCCACCAUCCGAAACGAGAAGGCGUGAAGCGUACGGAAAGCUACGGCGAGUACGGAAGGCAGUGGAGGAACUUCCAAGAAAAGUUUCUAACGUUAAGUAUAUAUGGCCCGUACCGAAAAUGGACACACAUGGGUGAGGAGAGAAUCCUAAGGUGAGCGAGAGAACUAUAGCUAAGGAACUCUGCAAAAUGACUCCGUAACUUAGGGAGAAGGAGUGCUCAUAGAGAUAUGAGCCGCAGUGAAACGGCCCAAGCGACUGUUUACCAAAAACACAGCUCUCUGCUAAGCCGCAAGGCGAAGUAUAGGGGGUGACGCCUGCCCGGUGCUGGAAGGUUAAGGGGAGGGGUUAACGCAAGUGAAGCCCUGAACUGAAGCCCCAGUAAACGGCGGCCGUAACUAUAACGGUCCUAAGGUAGCGAAAUUCCUUGUCAGGUAAGUUCUGACCCGCACGAAAGGCGUAACGAUUUGGGCGCUGUCUCAGCUGUAGACUCGGUGAAGUCUUAGUACCUGUGAAGAUGCAGGUUACCCGCGACUAGACGGAAAGACCCCAUGGAGCUUCACUGCAGGUUGAUAUUGGGAUUUGAUGCAGCAUGUACAGGAUAGGUAGGAGGCAAAGAGAUGGAUACGCCAGUAUUCAAGGAGCCGCUGUUGGGAUACUACCCCUGUUGUAUUGGAUUUCUAACCGGACGACGUAGAGCCGUUGACGGGACAGUGUCAGUCGGGCAGUUUGACUGGGGCGGUCGCCUCCCAAAGAGUAACGGAGGCGCCCAAAGAUACCCUCAGCUUGGAUGGAAACCAAGCGCAGAGUGCAAAGGCAAAAGGGUGUUUGACUGCGAGACCCACAAGUCGAGCAGGGACGAAAGUCGGGCUUAGUGAUCCGGCGGUGCUGAAUGGAAAGGCCGUCGCUCAACGGAUAAAAGCUACCCUGGGGAUAACAGGCUGAUCUCCCCCAA